GGGAAUAACUGCUCAUUUUUCAUUUUUUAAAAUUGUUUAAACCCUUUUUACCUUAUUUGUUAUUGUUGUGAAUAACUAUAGUAUGAUGGCUAUAUUAUUGUUUACUUAAUAUAUAUAUCUCCAAAGUUUAUAGCAAUAUUCCUAACUCAAGCAGAGAAGCUUGUUUGCAAGUGAGAACUCAAGGAUAGACUCAGGAAUGCUUAUUAAUUACUUGAUUCUUAAGACUUUAGCAUGAUUGUUACAGUGUUUCAUUCAUAUUUUCCGAGAGAAUAAUGCCUUUACAUAUUCACUAUGAAUAUUUUUAAAUGCGAAUACUUGUAGACAUAGUCUUAUAUUUUGUUGUGCACUAAGUGCUAGAUCAUCAUUUAGUAUUCAGCUUUAAUCUUCUCCUAACAGUCCAGCAGAGUUCAAUGACAGGCUACCCUGGGUUCCAUGGCUGAGCCAUCUUCCUCCUCUUUCUUACCCGAAGUUAUGCUCCUGAACUUAUACUUGGCAACUGACAAAGAAUCAUUUUCUUCCAUCACCACCUGAAGCCCUGCACCAUACUGCAAGGCUUCGGAUACUAGCCAGCAGUCUUUUUAUUCCUCUGAACAUAACCAAAAGAUGUCUAAGCCAAGGAAUUAACAAGAUAACAUAUGAAAACACCAAGCCCAGUAGUUGGCACAUGGUAGGGCCUACAGAUGGCAGCUACUAGUGCCAUUAUUGCCUGGGAAAGUCUGUAAGGGGACUCCAGAGAAUUAAUCACCUGUUCCCUGGUCUUGUUCCCUAAUUAACUGGAAUUGGACAUGUCUAUUCAUGGUCAAACUUAGCUAAAAUGGUGACAAAAUUGCUUAAUUUUUUUUUAUCCCCUCUGCUCUGUUGUUCUUAGUUUGCUCUUUUCUGUACUCUUAUACCCCCACCCCUCCUUACUCUUCAAUUCUAAAUUAUAGGCAAAUUCUUCUCAAAGUAGAGAUAACAGUAUUACCCAGGUUUGGAGGUAGCCUUAUUCCCUUCUGUCUUUUGUUCUCCCUAUUUUUCUUCUAUAUAGGAAAUAAGAUUUUAUCUCUUUGUCCAGUUAACAGAAAUAUUUAAAUUUGGCUAAAUGAAGUCCAAUUAUAAUUGUUCCCACUUAUGUUCCCUAUCUGACAUUCUCUAGUCAAAAGGAUUGCAUUAACUUCAGCCUGGCCCAGGUGAAUUUCAAGAUUCCAAAAUUAAGAUUCAUUGAGUUUAUGUUCUAAUAAUGAUGUUAUAAAUAUUGUAUAUUUUUAAAAAAUGAGGUACUAUAUUAAAUGGCUCAUGCAUAUGACAUAUAUGCAUACAUUUGUACAUUCAUAAAUAUGUGUGUACAUAUUAUAUAUUUGUUUGCCUGUGACAGAUUUGACUUGCUUCUGCUUAUUUUGGCAUGAACUUGGCAUUUGUGUGCAUCACCACUGAGUAUUUUACGUAGUAUACUUUAGGCUAAAUUAUCAUAAAAAAUUAUUUGACUGGUAGAUGCCACAUUCCAGCUAGAGAAGUUGAGGCAUUCGUGUCUUUCUCAUUCUUAUUGUUGCUUGCCCAAAGCUUACAGACUGGAUACUUUUAAAAUCAAGUCACAUAUUCUCCUCAAAUUUAUUCUGAAAAGCUUAUUGAUAACUUAUUUUUGAAAGCUUUAUUUUAGCCUAUGUAAAAAACUAAAUUUUCUUUCAUAUACUUAUAAAUGUACUAUGAUACACAGAGAAUUAUAGUGAUUCAUUUCAUGAUUUUUGCAUAGUAGAAUAGUAGGCAUUGUCUCUCCAUAUGGCAGCUCUUUGCUGCCAAAAAUUUUAUGGUGUUAGGGAAUAGCAAAGGGAUAUACCAAAAGGUGCCUCGGCUUUGGUUGGCAUAGAGCAUGUUACAGCAGUGGUGUAUAAAUUUAGAGUUAUAUAGGUUCUUGCUUACAGCAUAGUAUAUAGGGAUACUCAAAUGUUUUGUCACUGAGUUAGGAAAAUAGAUGAUAGUGCAAAUCUACAUUAUAUACUAAUAUAUUUACUCUGAGGACAGAAUAAAAACUUAUAUCAAGGGUAUUAAUGUACAAUUACAAAUGGUUCUGCAAAAUUGGCAAUGCAAAUGAAUUGUGUUAUGGACAAGCGUCUUUGUGAAUUUGUUUUUUCUCCAAAAAUCUGUUAAUUGUUAAAUGUUUUAUUUCUUUAAUAGAUGAGGAUGGUCCCACUUGUGAAUCGUUAGCCUUAUCAGUAUUUUCAUUCAGAAUGGUUCUGUAGUAUUAUCUAUGUUUAGAGAAUAUUCAUACACUUUGAAAAUGUGGAAAUUAUGAUAUUUCAAAUCAGACCUCACCCACCAGUGUGAGUCCUAGCUGCAGCACUCAUUAGCUGUGUAAUUUAGGCAAGUUAGUUGACCUCUCUCGAUUUCAGGUUCUUCAUCUGUUUUUUUAAAAAAUGAAAGCAGGGGAGUUCUUAUCCUGAUUAGUGGUAAGGCUUAACUUUUAUCUACUCCAUCCUUCCCUCCUUCCUGGAGCACUGUCCGCACUCGGUUCCCAGGACACAGCCUCUGUUGCUUUCCCCACCUUGCUGAAUGCACUUUCUAUUUCCUUGGCCAAGAAACUAACUGCUAAAUGUUGAGACCAGGACUCUGGUCUAUUCUUUUCUUUAGAUGAUCUCAUACCCCAUGGCUUUAACUUCCAUGUUUUAGACCAAUUUAAAUCCCGGCCCCAAUCUCUCAUCUGAGAUCCAGACUCACAUUUCUAAUGGCCUACUUUACAUCACUGUAUCACAAUAGAGAUGUAGAAAUCAGAACUCCAAAACAUAUACCCGAAGAUGACCCCUAUCUGAAGCUCCCUCAGCUUCAUAAAUGUCCUCAUCUUUUCAGACCCCACAUCUGGGACUUAGCCUUGAUUCCUCUCUUUUCUACACUGACUAUCCCAGCAAGUCAAUGAAUUUCCCCUUCAAAAUCUGACCACUUCCCCCACUUCCAGAGCUAUCCUGGUUGAGAAUACCAUCAUCUUCACCAGGCCUCAGCAGCAGCCUUCUCACUUGUUUCUGUAUAUACUUGUCCGCCAAAGACUGGUUAUCACAUGGAAAACCAGGUGGUGUUUUAACAUGUAAAUUACAGCAUGGUAUUCCCAAGACCAUUCAAUGGCUUACUGUCACACUUGGACUAAAAUCCGAAACCUUUUCCAUGGUCUGCAAGGCCCUACCUGAUGUUUUUCUAGCCCACCACUCUAUCCAGUGUCUGCCUUGCUGACUUCACCAUGGCCACAUUAGACUCUUUUCUGCUAUAGAAUAUGCUGGAUUUUCAUCUUGAUCCCUCUGCUUUUGCUGUGCCCUCUCCCUCAGACAUUUCACCUGCACAGCUUCAUAUGGCUCACUCCUUGGCUUCAUUCAGGGACAUGCUCAGAUGUCCUCUCUGCUAAGAGCCUUCUCUGGACAAACUUAAACAGAUCAAGCAAACAAAACUGUUAUUAUCUCUUUAUAUCUUUAUUUUACCUGAAAUUACCUUGUAUUUAGUGUUCAUAUAUUAUUUUUUUCUCCCUAAUUAGAGGGUGAGUUCCACAAGGACAGAUUAUCUUUUAUGUUUUGCUAUUUCACGAACACCUAAAAUAUACCCGAUAAAUAUUUGCUGAAUAUAUAAAUUGAAUAAAAUGACAUUUAAAAAAGAUCUUAACAGAGUGCUUAAAGAAGAGUUCAAUAAGUGUUAAUUUUCAUUGCCAUUCUCAUUCUCAAGUAAAUUACUUUGAAAUAACUCCUCUGUAAAGCUGUAGUUUGGAUAGUCACUUUGUAGAAACAUUAAAAAAUGUUCAAAAUCUGUAUUUGGUUUUUACAAUAUUAAUGCCACCAAAAGACAGCUGAGAUAGUAGAAAACUGUGACCCAGUUUCAAAUCCUGACUUCAUCACUCUCUCAGCUGUUAACCAAAGAUGAGUCAAUUCAAUUCUGAACCAUUCUUUCAUUACCAAAGAAAUGCAGUUAAUAAUUACUUCAAAAGAUUUUUUUU
Molecule: long non-coding RNA, 3943 nt
Organism: Sapajus apella (tufted capuchin)
Lineage: Eukaryota; Metazoa; Chordata; Mammalia; Primates; Cebidae
Exons: 2
Source: RefSeq, a predicted model, not a curated record